GGGAAUCCCUGGGAGCAUAUUUUUCUGAGUAUCGUUUCACCACCUCCGCCUCUGCGUCCUCACGGAUGUCAGUAGUGUUGGGUAAAUGGCGGUUUGACCUCGCGGUCAAUCCACUGAAAUGUAUACUGCUUCAGUAUCUUCAAUUUGAGUUGUGUGGCGUAAAACCCCACACCACUCACGUUGUCGAUGUUUGAUACUUGACCUCUGGUCAUCACAUUAUCUACAUUGGCAAUGCUGAAGAACCACUGAUUGGCAGGUUCAAGGUAUGUAGAGUUAUGGACGAGGUUUUCGGACCAGAUCUAUUCUUCUCAAUUCUUGAUCUCAGAUAAAGUAAGAGAACCCGCCGAAUUUAAGCAUAUUAUUAAGCGGAGGAAAAGAAACUAACAAGGAUUCCCCUAGUAACGGCGAGUGAAGCGGGAAGAGCUCAAAGUUAAAAUCGGGGUACUGAGAGGUGCUUCCGAAUUGUAAUCUAGAGACAUUUUUUCAGCUUCGACCCGGGUAUAAAUCUUUUGAAACAAGGUGUCAUAGAGGGUGAGAAUCCCGUCUUUGAUCCGGAGUUCGGGGCGUACGAA
This 572-nucleotide ribosomal RNA is filed under the name Paracercomonas elongata. RNAcentral's name for it is "eukaryotic LSU rRNA". The stretch from base 317 to 572 matches the Rfam family "Eukaryotic large subunit ribosomal RNA", at positions 1 to 250 of the family's 3401-position model. Lineage: Eukaryota; Cercozoa; Cercomonadida; Cercomonadidae. The record is from RNAcentral.